Molecule: unclassified non-coding RNA, 246 nt
Filed under: Hypotrachyna sinuosa
Lineage: Eukaryota; Fungi; Ascomycota; Lecanoromycetes; Lecanorales; Parmeliaceae
Description: partial contains 5.8S ribosomal RNA, internal transcribed spacer 2, and large subunit ribosomal RNA
Source: RNAcentral
CGCACAUUGCGCCCUUCGGUAUUCCGGAGGGCAUGCCUGUUCGAGCGUCAUUACACCUCUCAAGCGUAGCUUGGUAUUGGGCCCCGCCUGCUCGAGGCGUGCCCGAAAAUCAGUGGCGGUCCGGUGUGACUUCAAGCGUAUUAAUAAAAUUUCUCCUCGCUUUGGAAGCUCUCCCCGCGGCCGGCCAGCGGACCCCCCAUUCUAUGAAUUGACCUCGGAUCAGGUAGGGAUACCCGCUGAACUUAA